UCUCUCUUCAAUAACCACUGGCGCAAUCAAUACAAGGUGCAGUCAAUCUAAUCAAUUCCUUCGCUAACGAACCCUCUCUCCACACUGGACUCCAGCACCACGACGACCUAGGGUUUCUCCCGCGAUCCGUCUCACUCUCCCACUGCCUUCCGACUCUGAGCUUAAACUGCAUGUUGUUGCCGUGAAGUUAACCUACUGCCUUAACAAGGGAGUACACAAUGAGUGGGAGCGCCAGAAAACGUAAAUCUCUAUGGGAUCGCAUUGGAGAGCCUCAGCUUCCAGCUGAAAUCAGCGAAAAGGAUUCUUGGCGUGAGAAAGAAAGCUAUUCCAACCUCCAUGUUGGUCAUGGUUCAAAGUGGUCUGACUUGGAAGACGACAAUGCAUUCAGGACCAAAGGAAGCGGUAACCAGAAGGAUGACAGGAGAGACUUAGAUGAUUUUCCUGAAACAAGAAAGCCUUGGGAUGGGGAUAAGAGCCAUCAUGUAUCUUCGGCCUUUGAUAGAUUGCAACCACAAAACCACAGCCAUUCUCCUGAAAAUAGUAGGAACGUGUCAUCCAGGUACAGAAGGAGCAGCAGGAGCAUAAGCAGGAGCAGGGACAGGGGCAGGGGUAGGAGUAGGAGCCCUAGCCGAGGAAGGGGCAGGAGUAGGGACAGAGACUGGGACAGGGGUAGGGACAGGGGUAGGAGCAGGAGCAGGAGCAGGAGCAGGAGUAGGAGCCCCCUUGGUAAUUACAGACAAGAAUCCUACAGAUGGACUGACAGAAGUAGAAGUGGGUUGUCUCAACCAUGUAGAGACUUUGCUUCUGGUAAUUGCAGGAGAGGCAGUGAAUGCAAGUUCCUUCAUCAGGAUAACCUCAAUCACAAGGAUGGGGGGCGAUUUGAGAGUGAAAAAUCUGAAAGAUGGAGAAGUACACAGGAACGGGGAGGAAAUAGUUAUGAUGGAGGGAAGGACGAGCCCAGGAGGAGCAGUGGUAAAUCUACAGUGCUUUGUAAUGAUUUCAUGAGAGGUAGGUGCAGUAGGGGAUCAUCAUGCAGAUUUUCCCACGAUGAUGAUGCUAUGGGUUACAAUAGUGAAAGAAGCAAAAGAGAUUCUUCGUUUGAUCAUGAGUACAAGCGGCAACCACGUACGAAUGGCAAUACACCUUCCAAGUUUGGCAAUACGCCUUGCAAGUUUUUUUUAAUGGGGAACUGCAAUAGAGACAACUGCAGAUUUUCUCAUGAUGGUGCAGGGCGAGACGUUUUUGAAGGAAAGUCACAGGAUGAUGGUAGGGGUAAAGUUUGUGACGACACGAACAAAUCAUGGAAUGGUCCAAAAUGGGGCGAAGGAACUGCUGUCUCAGACGUUUUGCAGUCUAUUGGUUGGAGUAAUGCUAGAAAAGAGGCUUUUUCUGUUACAAAUGAUGAUGAAAUGAGUAAACCGUGGAAUGGUCUAAAAUGGGGCGAACCAACUGUUGUCUCAGACGUUUCACAGUCUACUGGUUGGGGGAAUGUUGGAAAAGAGACUUUUAUUGAUCCAGCACCGGCUGAGAAACGGACUGAUGAUAGAAGGUACCACAGUUUCGAAGACGAGAACAAAAAAUGGAGUGGUCCCAAAUGGGGUGAUGCAACUGGUGUCUCAGAGAUUGAGAGGUCUACUGGCUGGGGUAACAGUAGUGGUGACAAUACGAAUUUAGCUGAUCCGGCUAAUGCUGAGAAACACACUGAUACUCUCCAUGGUUUGCAAUCUAAAACUCCAUACCGAAUAUCAAAAUAUGUUCGUGAGCAAAAUAUAGGGCAAGAAGCUUCAGGUGGGCCCCAUCCUACUACAUUCAUGCAUUCAGCUUUUCCUGAAGAUUCUAUUAUUCAGCAGCAUCACAAUCCUUUGGGGGAUAAUAAUGCAGUAACUGAUGAUUUUAAUUCACAUGGGGUGGACGUCUAUGCAAUUGUUCCGGAUCCUACUUUUGUGUCUGGACAGAACAACAAUCGAGAAGCUGAUAGUUUUCCAAGUGCAGGUGGACUUAAUCAAAGUCAGCACAUGGUUUCUGUGAACCCCUCCAAUGGACUUGAUAUCGAUUUGAACGGACCGGUGCAACAGAACUACUCCCCAUCCACUCAACAUGGAGAAUCUGUCCAGAAAAUAGUGAACUCCACCAUACCUCUGAACAUUGUCAACAAUGAGCAGGGCGGGCAAGUAAGUAAUUUUCCAUCGUCUCUGAUGCAGAUAAUUGGGAAUGGGCAACUUCCUCAACUAUAUGCAGCACUAAACCCCCCGAACUCCACUGAAUCUGUGCCUUCACUUCCCCAGGAUACUUGGCCCGAUCCAGCUUCGGUAUCUCAAACUCAAUAUAAUCUCAGAGCUGAUAGCAUAGAGCCGACCAAGAAUAAUUCCAAACAAAACAGUGAAAUACUCUUGAAAUAUUCAUCUUCGCAACCCGCUGUUGGGGUUGACGCUGUCAAACCCCACAAGAAUGAGUUUACUGAGGAUAACUCUCAUAGAAGUCCACAGUUGAGACAGCAGAAUCCAGUUGCAGAUUCAGUAUCAAUAGCUGAGAAACAGAAGCAAGAUCUGGAAAACACUCAUCCAGGAAAUGUGGAUGCAAAUCCCAGGAUCGUAGAUGGCAAUACUGAGAAGGAUGAAAAGGCAAUGCGGCCGUUCAGAAAUGCGCUCGUGGAGUUUGUUAAGGAGAUUUUGAAGCCCAAAUGGAAGCAAGGCCAGAUGAGCAGAGAAGUUCACAAAAACAUUGUAGGGAAGGUGGUUGAUAAAGUGACCAGUACAAUUCAAGGUGCUAAUAUCCCGAAGACGCAAGAUAAAAUCGAUCAAUAUCUAAUGUGUUCUAAGCCCAAGCUUACUAAACUUGUAGAGGCAUACACGGAGAGAUUUUGUAAGGGCCCUUAGAGCACCAAGUGCUGCUGAUAUUUCCCUUGCUGUAUUGGACCUUCAGCAGGGUUAGAUGUUAGGAUAGAGUUCAGACUUAUUUGACACUCACAUGGCCUUUUGCUCUCGUGGAUUCCCUCUUUGGCGUUGGUCAUGGCAGUUUCCUCGCAAUGAGACGACAUUAUUUUCGAAAUCUGAUGCUGUUAGUCUCUUAGAAAUGAUGAUCUUGAAGACUCCAGUCCAGCCUAUAUUGUUUUGAUGCUCCAUGUUUAGGGUGUCCUUGUUGCUUCCACUGUGGAUUUACGUUUUCUUGAUUUGUAUUUAGUCAUUGAGCUAGAAAUUGGGCAAGUUCAGCUUCUGAAUUUUUUCUGGGGACUUCGUGUCCAGCUUUCCGCUGUUUUCAAUC
This is an RNA transcript of Rhododendron vialii, 3261 nucleotides long. It is a transcript of the gene named zinc finger CCCH domain-containing protein 55-like, with no coding region annotated. The record is from RefSeq and is a predicted model, not a curated record. The transcript has 5 exons. Lineage: Eukaryota; Viridiplantae; Streptophyta; Magnoliopsida; Ericales; Ericaceae.